Molecule: non-coding RNA, 297 nt
Organism: Phascolarctos cinereus (koala)
Lineage: Eukaryota; Metazoa; Chordata; Mammalia; Diprotodontia; Phascolarctidae
Source: RefSeq, a predicted model, not a curated record
GGGCAGUCCCCUUCAGUAAAGAGAUCUCACAGAGGAAAUGCCACAUUGGGAGGUGAGAGAUGUCAUCAGGCUGGCAUGAGUUUUCAGACAGAGAAGAAUUAUCUAGGAAUUACUGCAAAUGAUUUGGAACCAGAGAAGCAGAGCCCUCCUCAGAGCUGCCCCUAAGAAUGAGACCUUUUCCAGAACAUUCAAGAGAAGAUAUUUCCAAUGACCAGACAAAUACAUGGAACAUCUGGGACUCAAGACAAAAUGAAAUAAUUAAAUGUACAUUGGGAGUGGGUUACUAGCAUACAAGGA